This 301-nucleotide ribosomal RNA is filed under the name uncultured bacterium. Its description in RNAcentral is "partial 16S ribosomal RNA". It matches the Rfam family "Bacterial small subunit ribosomal RNA", at positions 509 to 807 of the family's 1533-position model. The record is from RNAcentral.
CAGCCGCCGCGGUAAUACGAAGGGGGCUAGCGUUGUUCGGAAUUACUGGGCGUAAAGCGCACGUAGGCGGAUAUUUAAGUCAGGGGUGAAAUCCCGCAGCUCAACUGCGGAACUGCCUUUGAUACUGGGUAUCUUGAGUAUGGAAGAGGUAAGUGGAAUUCCGAGUGUAGAGGUGAAAUUCGUAGAUAUUCGGAGGAAAACCAGUGGCGAAGGCGGCUUACUGGUUCAUUACUGACGCUGAGGUGCGAAAGCGUGGGGAGCAAACAGGAUUAGAUACCCGAGUAGUCCCUGUCUCUUAUAC